CUACGGGAGGCAGCAGUGGGGAAUAUUGGACAAUGGUCCAAAAGUCUGAUCCAGCAAUUCUGUGUGCACGAUGAAGGUCUUCGGAUUGUAAAGUGCUUUCAGUAGGGAAGAAGAAUGUGACGGUACCUACAGAAGAAGCGACGGCUAAAUACGUGCCAGCAGCCGCGGUAAUACGUAUGUCGCAAGCGUUAUCCGGAAUUAUUGGGCAUAAAGGGCGUCUAGGUGGUUUACUAAGUCUGAUGUGAAAAUGCGGGGCUCAACUCCGUAUUGCGUUGGAAACUGGUUUACUAGAGUCUUGGAGAGGUGGGCGGAACUACAAGUGUAGAGGUGAAAUUCGUAGAUAUUUGUAGGAAUGCCGAUGACGAAGGUAGCUCACUGGACAAGUACUGACACUAAAGCGCGAAAGCUAGGGGAGCAAACAGGAUUAGAUACCCCAGUAGUC
RNAcentral lists this ribosomal RNA (442 nucleotides) under uncultured bacterium. RNAcentral describes it as "partial 16S ribosomal RNA". It matches the Rfam family "Bacterial small subunit ribosomal RNA", at positions 339 to 795 of the family's 1533-position model. The record is from RNAcentral.